This 253-nucleotide ribosomal RNA is filed under the name uncultured bacterium. RNAcentral's name for it is "partial 16S ribosomal RNA". It matches the Rfam family "Bacterial small subunit ribosomal RNA", at positions 524 to 776 of the family's 1533-position model. The record is from RNAcentral.
CACGUAGGGCGCAAGCGUUGUCCGGAAUUAUUGGGCGUAAAGAGCGCGCAGGCGGUCGUUCAAGUCGAGUGUGAAAGCCCCCGGCUCAACUGGGGAGGGUCAUUCGAUACUGAUCGACUCGAAGGCAGGAGAGGGAAGUGGAAUUCCCGGUGUAGUGGUGAAAUGCGUAGAUAUCGGGAGGAACACCAGUGGCGAAGGCGACUUCCUGGCCUGUUCUUGACGCUGAGGCGCGAAAGCUAGGGGAGCAAACGGG